GCAGUUUUUAUUUUGGUUGGCUAGUGCGAGACAGUGCACACACACACACUUUCAUAUUUUCCAAUAAAGUCAUCUAAUUUUUAAAACAAUCUAACUUCAGCUACCCAAAAUAUACAACAGAUCAAUAUGGAAAAGUAUUAAUACAUUUAUACUCUUUCAAAGAUCCCAUAUUGUCAGGCUAUUUGUAACUCUCACAGUUGUGACAGAUAGAAGUUAAAUAAUUAUUCAUAAUUAACUGACAUGUUCAUUCUUGUCCUCUCUUGCCAAAUCUGUUCAAUGUAAUUAGAUGAUUGCUUGUGUUCCAUUUUGCUCUGAUGGGCUCCAAUUCUGGCUGAGUUUCAUGCAUUGGAAUCAUAUCCUGCAGUUAUCAUUGUUAUUUUCUCCACUACAUAUCCCCCUGUAGAAGUGCACCAUGCCAGGCAUAUCAUUCUGUAUAUUUUACUCUGCUAAUGACAUCAAAGAAUGUAUCACUAUCAUUUUUCUGGCCCACCAAAAUAACAUUUACUCCUGUAUCCUACAUGUGAUUAAUAUGGAAAGGAUAUGCUAUGCUAGAAUGCAGAACUCUCAAGUAAAGAACCCUGUGAUAAAUCUACUGUCUUUCCUGCAAACUACUGGAGUGCUUUUGGGUAAGUUGCUUUAUUUCUCUAAUUCUCAAUUUACUUAUCUAUAAAAUGAAACUAAAAAUCCACAAUGUCUUAGGGAAUUUUUAGAGAUUUGCAUUUAUAGUGCAUGAUAAUUUAUAAAAGAAAAGUUAAGAUUCUUUUCCAAAGACAGGUUUUCCUUCGCAGAAAUUGGGCAGCUGCUACCUUGCAUACAUUGCUAACAUGGCUGAGUUUUAACGGAAGUAUUUUUCUUACCAUAAUUCCUCUUUUGGUGUUAAUAGGGGACUUCUAAUUAGGUCUUAGUCUAUUUGGGAAGGUUAAUAGUAAAGUACUAAGCAUUUAUACAAACACAAUCAAAGGUUGCUUGCAAGUGUAGGGAAAGAAGGCAACUAUAAAUAUUCACUAUUUUCUAGUUGAGUUUUUCCCUAUUGACAUUAGUUGUAAAAGAUAGAAUUUCAUAAUAGGAACAGGCGUGGAAGGAAAGGAACUAUUUCAACUCAUCAGAGUCACAGAGCCAUCUCUGAAGUCCUCAAGUUUAUACAUGGGAAGUGCCAAAAUUUGAUCUUCAGUGUAAAAUUUCUUCCAUAUUCUCUUGGAUACACAGAGCAAAUAGAGAAACUACAGCAGAUAGACUUUUACAAUGGCAAAAUAUGAUGGAAAAGACUCUGGGCUCAUCCUUCAGAGAAGCCUUCUGUGGCAGAGUAACUGUCUGUGGAAGGAAAAAGUAAAUCAUUUUUAAAAACCCCACUGCUCCAAAAUCUGCUCUAAUGCCACUGUCUUCAGGGCCAAGUAUUCCAUCUGGCAAGAGCAAGUCAUGGAAAAGCACAAAGGUAAUUUACCCAAUUGGCCUGGGCAGAACAUUGUUUCUUCAGUUAUUUUUUGUGACUCUCCCUUCAGAGUGUGAUUCAGACAGUUCUGCACCAAGAUCAGUGGCUGUGCAGAGUUCAAAUAGGUGAAAAUACAGCUCUGGAUGAGUAGCACUGUAUUUUUUCUCAGUUCAGUCUCUCGUUCUUCAUUGCUCAGCUCAGAGUUUCUCUCUCUGUCUUCAUUGCUCAACUUCGUGUCCCUGCUUCCCAACAGGAGAACCCUAUCUAAAAUAUUUAUUUUUAAAAAAUCUUGAUAUCAUCCCAUCAUAGAACAAGAUAUACAGUACGGUGCUCAAGCUCGUGAUGAUAAAAUAUCAGGGAUCUUUGAAAAUUUAUAAUCUAAGAGCCUCAACUUCUGAAUGAGCUGCUAUGAUAAAUGCAAUUUAUUGGAGACUUCCUCAUCUUUAUUAUUUUCUAUGAUUCCAGGCAAGAGUCAUUUCAAAAUGAGUCUACUUUAGCUUCAGUACCCUUGGAAACCAACCAAUCCAAUGGUUUUACUGCCUUGGUGAGAUGCUGUAUUUCUUGGGAAUUGCCAUUUAGUAGAUUAAAAUUAUAAAACCCAGCAGAGGGAAAUUUCCCAACAGCAAAUCAAUUUAUAUGUCUUUCAGAGAGUUUUCCAGAAAUGUACUUAAGAACUGCUGACUCAAUGUAAUGUUCUUCCAAAGCCAGGACACUCAGGGCCGAUAAGGACACUAACCCGUGUAUUUUCUGAGCUUUUCCUAGCUGGAUAUUUGUACUAUGUGAAAUUCAUGUUCUGUACUCUAGAGACAUGAAUCACUUGUUCAAUUAAAAAUAGUAUUUCUCUGGCAAUUGUUUGAUCAAGAAUGGGAAUAAGUUGUGGGUGAAAUUGUGACCAUCUGCAUUCCUGUCUUGGAAACCUGCCUGUUGUUUUGUAACCAUAUGCAGACUCAUUGAUCAGUUUUUCUCUCUGAAACAUCAAUACCAAAAUUAAUGACUAUAGCUUCUUCUAGGAUUUUCUUAAAAUUAGUUCAGGGCUUUCCAAUGUGGGAGUUAAAUGCAUGCUUAUUCUUGUAGAAUUUAGAAAAUAUAAUCACAUUCCAAGAGAAAAGCAUAUUGAGGGCCUAGUCAUAUGUAAUUCUUCACCAAAUUCUGGGUCUUCUUUUGUUGGCUCAAAACAAAUAAAUAUAAUUGCCCCAAAGAAUUACAGUGUAGAGAUGACCUAAUCAAUGACAGUCUCUUAAUUUUAAU
This 2677-nucleotide long non-coding RNA is filed under the name Homo sapiens (human). RNAcentral's name for it is "non-protein coding lnc-KCNJ2-6:1". Lineage: Eukaryota; Metazoa; Chordata; Mammalia; Primates; Hominidae. The record is from RNAcentral.